GGAGGAGUGACAGAGUGGUCGAAUGUACCGGUCUUGAAAACCGGCGUGGGGGAAACUCCACCGUGGGUUCAAAUCCCACCUCCUCCGCCA
RNAcentral lists this transfer RNA (90 nucleotides) under Paracoccaceae bacterium. RNAcentral describes it as "Rhodobacteraceae bacterium tRNA-Ser". It matches the Rfam family "tRNA". Rfam says of the family: Transfer RNA (tRNA) molecules are approximately 80 nucleotides in length. Their secondary structure includes four short double-helical elements and three loops (D, anti-codon, and T loops). Lineage: Bacteria; Pseudomonadati; Pseudomonadota; Alphaproteobacteria; Rhodobacterales; Paracoccaceae. The record is from RNAcentral.